UACGUAGGGGGCAAGCGUUGUCCGGAAUCAUUGGGCGUAAAGCGCGUGUAGGCGGCCCGGUAAGUCCGCUGUGAAAGUCAAGGGCUCAACCCUUGGAUGCCGGUGGAUACUGUCGGGCUAGAGUCCGGAAGGGGCGAGUGGAAUUCCUGGUGUAGCGGUGAAAUGCGCAGAUAUCAGGAGGAACACCAAUGGCGAAGGCAGCUCGCUGGGACGUGACUGACGCUGAGACGCGAAAGCGUGGGGAGCAAACAGG
This 253-nucleotide ribosomal RNA is filed under the name uncultured bacterium. Its description in RNAcentral is "partial 16S ribosomal RNA". It matches the Rfam family "Bacterial small subunit ribosomal RNA", at positions 524 to 776 of the family's 1533-position model. The record is from RNAcentral.